GCAUAACGCGAAGAACCUUACCUAAGCUUGACAUCCUUUUGACCGAUGCCUAAUCGCAUCUUCCCUUUGGGGACAGAAGUGACAGGUGGUGCAUGGCUGUCGUCAGCUCGUGUCGUGAGAUGUUGGGUUAAGUCCCGCAACGAGCGCAACCCUUGCCUUUAGUUGCCAGCAUUAAGUUGGGCACUCUAGAGGGACUGCCAGGGAUAACCUGGAGGAAGGUGGGGAUGACGUCAAAUCAUCAUGCCCCUUAUGCUUAGGGCUACAUACGUGCUACAAUGGGUGGUACAGAGGGCAGCCAAGUCGUGAGGCGGAGCUAAUCCCUUAAAGCCAUUCUCAGUUCGGAUUGUAGGCUGAAACUCGCCUACAUGAAGCUGGAGUUACUAGUAAUCGCAGAUCAGAAUGCUGCGGUGAAUGCGUUCCCGGGUCUUGUACACACCG
Molecule: ribosomal RNA, 438 nt
Filed under: uncultured bacterium
Lineage: Bacteria
Description: bacterial SSU rRNA
Rfam family: Bacterial small subunit ribosomal RNA
Source: RNAcentral